UACGUAGGGGGCAAGCGUUGUCCGGAAUCAUUGGGCGUAAAGCGCGUGUAGGCGGUUACGUAAGUCUGCUGUGAAAGUCGGAGGCUCAACCUUCGAAAGCCGGUGGAUACUGCGUGACUAGAGUUCGGAAGAGGAGAGUGGAAUUCCUGGUGUAGCGGUGAAAUGCGCAGAUAUCAGGAGGAACACCAACGGCGAAGGCAGCUCUCUGGGACGAUACUGACGCUGAGACGCGAAAGCGUGGGGAGCAAACAGG
RNAcentral lists this ribosomal RNA (253 nucleotides) under uncultured bacterium. RNAcentral's name for it is "partial 16S ribosomal RNA". It matches the Rfam family "Bacterial small subunit ribosomal RNA", at positions 524 to 776 of the family's 1533-position model. The record is from RNAcentral.